RNAcentral lists this ribosomal RNA (468 nucleotides) under uncultured bacterium. RNAcentral's name for it is "partial 16S ribosomal RNA". It matches the Rfam family "Bacterial small subunit ribosomal RNA", at positions 28 to 507 of the family's 1533-position model. The record is from RNAcentral.
GACGAACGCUGGCGGCGUGCUUAACACAUGCCAGUCGAACGGAAAGGCCCUGCUUUUGUGGGGUGCUCGAGUGGCGAACGGGUGAGUAACACGUGAGUAACCUGCCCUUGACUUUGGGAUAACUUCAGGAAACUGGGGCUAAUACCGGAUAGGAGCUCCUGCUGCAUGGUGGGGGUUGGAAAGUUUCGGCGGUUGGGGAUGGACUCGCGGCUUAUCAGCUUGUUGGUGGGGUAGUGGCUUACCAAGGCUUUGCCGGGUAGCCGGCCUGAGAGGGGGACCGGCCACAUUAGGACUGAGAUACGGCCCAGACUCCUACGGGAGGCAGCGGUGGGGAAUAUUGCACAAUGGGCGGAAGCCUGAUGCAGCGACGCCGCGUGCGGGAAGACGGCCUUCGGGUUGUAAACCGCUUUCGCCUGUGACGAAGCGUGAGUGACGGUAAUGGGUAAAGAAGCACCGGCUAACUACGUG